This 322-nucleotide ribosomal RNA is filed under the name uncultured eukaryote. Its description in RNAcentral is "partial 18S ribosomal RNA". It matches the Rfam family "Eukaryotic small subunit ribosomal RNA", at positions 1470 to 1796 of the family's 1831-position model. The record is from RNAcentral.
CCCUUAGAUGUUCUGGGCCGCACGCGUGCUACACUGAGUGGAUCAGCGGGUCAGGUUGCGCGAAAGCGUUUCCUAAUCUUUAAAUCCGCUCGUGAUGGGGAUUGACGGUUGCAAUUUUCUGUCAUGAACGAGGAAUACCUUGUAAGCGCGGGUCAUCAUCCCGCGCUGAAUACGUCCCUGCCCUUUGUACACACCGCCCGUCGCUCCUACCGAUUGAGUGGUCCGGUGAGGCUUUGGGAGCUGAGCGGAAAGAGCGUUUCGCUGUUUCUGCUCGGAAAACUCAGUCGAACCUUAUCAUUUAGAGGAAGGAGAAGUCGUAACA